GACGAACGCUGGCGGCGUGCUUAACACAUGCAAGUCGAACGGAAAGGCCCUGCUUGCAGGGUACUCGAGUGGCGAACGGGUGAGUAACACGUGGGUGAUCUGCCCUGCACUUCGGGAUAAGCCUGGUAAACUGGGUCUAAUACCGGAUAGGAGCCAUUUUUAGUGUGAUGGUUGGAAAGUUUUUUCGGUGUAGGAUGAGCUCGCGGCCUAUCAGCUUGUUGGUGGGGUGAUGGCCUACCAAGGCGGCGACGGGUAGCCGGCCUGAGAGGGUGGACGGCCACAUUGGGACUGAGAUACGGCCCAGGCACCUACGGGAGGCAGAAGGGGGGAAUAUUGCACAAUGGGCGCCAGCCUGAUGCAGCGACGCCGCGGGGGGGAUGACGGCCUUCGGGUUGAAAACUCCUUGCGCUAGGGACGAAGCUUUUUGUGACGGUACCUAGAUAAGAAGCACCGGCUAACUACGUG
This 465-nucleotide ribosomal RNA is filed under the name uncultured bacterium. Its description in RNAcentral is "partial 16S ribosomal RNA". It matches the Rfam family "Bacterial small subunit ribosomal RNA", at positions 28 to 507 of the family's 1533-position model. The record is from RNAcentral.